RNAcentral lists this ribosomal RNA (2900 nucleotides) under Klebsiella pneumoniae. Its description in RNAcentral is "23S ribosomal RNA". It matches the Rfam family "Bacterial large subunit ribosomal RNA". Lineage: Bacteria; Pseudomonadati; Pseudomonadota; Gammaproteobacteria; Enterobacterales; Enterobacteriaceae. RNAcentral also lists the same sequence under 1 other name. The record is from RNAcentral.
UUAAGCGACUAAGCGUACACGGUGGAUGCCCUGGCAGUCAGAGGCGAUGAAGGACGUGCUAAUCUGCGAAAAGCGUCGGUAAGGUGAUAUGAACCGUUAUAACCGGCGAUGUCCGAAUGGGGAAACCCAGUGUGAUUCGUCACACUAUCGUUAACUGAAUACAUAGGUUAACGAGGCGAACCGGGGGAACUGAAACAUCUAAGUACCCCGAGGAAAAGAAAUCAACCGAGAUUCCCCCAGUAGCGGCGAGCGAACGGGGAGCAGCCCAGAGUCUGAAUCAGCUUGUGUGUUAGUGGAACGGUCUGGAAAGUCCGACGGUACAGGGUGAUAGUCCCGUACACCAAAAUGCACAGGCUGUGAACUCGAAGAGUAGGGCGGGACACGUGGUAUCCUGUCUGAAUAUGGGGGGACCAUCCUCCAAGGCUAAAUACUCCUGACUGACCGAUAGUGAACCAGUACCGUGAGGGAAAGGCGAAAAGAACCCCGGCGAGGGGAGUGAAAAAGAACCUGAAACCGUGUACGUACAAGCAGUGGGAGCACCUUCGGGUGUGACUGCGUACCUUUUGUAUAAUGGGUCAGCGACUUAUAUUCUGUAGCAAGGUUAACCGUAUAGGGGAGCCGCAGGGAAACCGAGUCUUAACUGGGCGUUAAGUUGCAGGGUAUAGACCCGAAACCCGGUGAUCUAGCCAUGGGCAGGUUGAAGGUUGGGUAACACUAACUGGAGGACCGAACCGACUAAUGUUGAAAAAUUAGCGGAUGACUUGUGGCUGGGGGUGAAAGGCCAAUCAAACCGGGAGAUAGCUGGUUCUCCCCGAAAGCUAUUUAGGUAGCGCCUCGUGAAUUCAUCUUCGGGGGUAGAGCACUGUUUCGGCUAGGGGGUCAUCCCGACUUACCAACCCGAUGCAAACUACGAAUACCGAAGAAUGUUAUCACGGGAGACACACGGCGGGUGCUAACGUCCGUCGUGAAGAGGGAAACAACCCAGACCGCCAGCUAAGGUCCCAAAGUCAUGGUUAAGUGGGAAACGAUGUGGGAAGGCACAGACAGCCAGGAUGUUGGCUUAGAAGCAGCCAUCAUUUAAAGAAAGCGUAAUAGCUCACUGGUCGAGUCGGCCUGCGCGGAAGAUGUAACGGGGCUAAACCAUGCACCGAAGCUGCGGCAGCGACACUAUGUGUUGUUGGGUAGGGGAGCGUUCUGUAAGCCUGCGAAGGUGUGCUGUGAGGCAUGCUGGAGGUAUCAGAAGUGCGAAUGCUGACAUAAGUAACGAUAAAGCGGGUGAAAAGCCCGCUCGCCGGAAGACCAAGGGUUCCUGUCCAACGUUAAUCGGGGCAGGGUGAGUCGACCCCUAAGGCGAGGCCGAAAGGCGUAGUCGAUGGGAAACAGGUUAAUAUUCCUGUACUUGGUGUUACUGCGAAGGGGGGACGGAGAAGGCUAUGUUAGCCGGGCGACGGUUGUCCCGGUUUAAGCAUGUAGGCUGGUUAUCCAGGCAAAUCCGGAUAAUCAAGGCUGAGGUGUGAUGACGAGGCACUACGGUGCUGAAGUAACAAAUGCCCUGCUUCCAGGAAAAGCCUCUAAGCAUCAGGUAACAUCAAAUCGUACCCCAAACCGACACAGGUGGUCAGGUAGAGAAUACCAAGGCGCUUGAGAGAACUCGGGUGAAGGAACUAGGCAAAAUGGUGCCGUAACUUCGGGAGAAGGCACGCUGGUGUGUAGGUGAAGUCCCUGCGGAUGGAGCUGAGACCAGUCGAAGAUACCAGCUGGCUGCAACUGUUUAUUAAAAACACAGCACUGUGCAAACACGAAAGUGGACGUAUACGGUGUGACGCCUGCCCGGUGCCGGAAGGUUAAUUGAUGGGGUUAUCCGUAAGGAGAAGCUCUUGAUCGAAGCCCCGGUAAACGGCGGCCGUAACUAUAACGGUCCUAAGGUAGCGAAAUUCCUUGUCGGGUAAGUUCCGACCUGCACGAAUGGCGUAAUGAUGGCCAGGCUGUCUCCACCCGAGACUCAGUGAAAUUGAACUCGCUGUGAAGAUGCAGUGUACCCGCGGCAAGACGGAAAGACCCCGUGAACCUUUACUAUAGCUUGACACUGAACAUUGAGCCUUGAUGUGUAGGAUAGGUGGGAGGCUUUGAAGCGUGGACGCCAGUCUGCGUGGAGCCAACCUUGAAAUACCACCCUUUAAUGUUUGAUGUUCUAACGUUGGCCCCUUACCGGGGUUGCGGACAGUGUCUGGUGGGUAGUUUGACUGGGGCGGUCUCCUCCCAAAGCGUAACGGAGGAGCACGAAGGUUAGCUAAUCCUGGUCGGACAUCAGGAGGUUAGUGCAAUGGCAUAAGCUAGCUUGACUGCGAGCGUGACGGCGCGAGCAGGUGCGAAAGCAGGUCAUAGUGAUCCGGUGGUUCUGAAUGGAAGGGCCAUCGCUCAACGGAUAAAAGGUACUCCGGGGAUAACAGGCUGAUACCGCCCAAGAGUUCAUAUCGACGGCGGUGUUUGGCACCUCGAUGUCGGCUCAUCACAUCCUGGGGCUGAAGUAGGUCCCAAGGGUAUGGCUGUUCGCCAUUUAAAGUGGUACGCGAGCUGGGUUUAGAACGUCGUGAGACAGUUCGGUCCCUAUCUGCCGUGGGCGCUGGAGAAUUGAGGGGGGCUGCUCCUAGUACGAGAGGACCGGAGUGGACGCAUCACUGGUGUUCGGGUUGUCAUGCCAAUGGCACUGCCCGGUAGCUAAAUGCGGAAGAGAUAAGUGCUGAAAGCAUCUAAGCACGAAACUUGCCCCGAGAUGAGUUCUCCCUGAGACUUUAAGUCUCCUGAAGGAACGUUAAAGACGAUGACGUUGAUAGGCCGGGUGUGUAAGCGCAGCGAUGCGUUGAGCUAACCGGUACUAAUGAACCGUGAGGCUUAACCUU